Long non-coding RNA from Mangifera indica (mango), 811 nucleotides. RefSeq lists it as uncharacterized. Lineage: Eukaryota; Viridiplantae; Streptophyta; Magnoliopsida; Sapindales; Anacardiaceae. The transcript has 2 exons. The record is from RefSeq and is a predicted model, not a curated record.
GAAGCUUUCUGCCACUCGUUUCUGGUUGUGACUAGUCUGUUGGAUUUUUCUGGAGUCAGAAUACAAAGAGGAAGACUCUGAACGAAGGACAAAAUGUGAUUUGCACCUUAACUGGUCAUGCUGUUCUGCUAAUGAAUGAUUUCAUUUUUCAUGCAGGCAGCAGACAAACAAAUAAACAAAAUGUGGAUGAAUGCAUGGAAACCACAUGGGGGGCAGGCUUCAUGAUGCUAUUUCUUUCUCUAAACAAAUCCACAGACGAGGAAAGAAGAGGAAGAGUCACUUACGCGAUAAAGUUGUUUGAAGCCAUAGAGACUGGUGGGGACUGAUAGGGCUAUCUGGACUCCAUGAACUAGAAGAAGACAUGUUGUUCUCCAUUGAAGCAAUGUGUUCCUUGGGUGCAGAAGAAGAGAAUCACUUAUUUUCCCAUAGGAAACCAAACGCAAAACCAAAAGGAACACGUUAUGGAUCUUGCAAGUGCUUGAUGGUGAAGGAUCACUCACUUCUCCAUUCUCUUAUAAGGGAGAUAACUUGUCAAAUCCAAAACAACUCUUAAUGACUGGGAAAUUUUUUUGGCUUAAUUUACCCAGUUUUUAUAACCUUAAUUUUCUCCUCAUUUCCCCUAAAAUGUGCGGACAGUUUGAUUUUAUAAUUGGUGGUGCAUUAGAAUUUAUGGAGUCAAUUGUUUUCUUUGGUCAAACUCAAAGGCCCAUUAGAGGAACUGUCGCAGCCAUAAUCAAUGACUCCUUCAGUUGGUGUGUACCAAAUCGUGGAAUUAGUAAAAUAAGGAAUACUUGUUACAGAAAAUCAUUUA